AUGCUGGCCCCAGNAGUGUGGAAUAUACGCCUANGUNAGUUGAGGUAAUGNGCAUCACCUAGGCGACGAUCCCUAGUCUGGUCUGAGAGGAUGACCAGCCACACUGGAACUGAGACACGGUCCAGACUCCUACGGGAGGCAGCAGUGGGGAAUAUUGCACAAUGGGCGCAAGCCUGAUGCAGCCAUGCCGCGUGUGUGAAGAAGGCCUUCGGGUUGUAAAGCACUUUCAGCGAGGAGGAAGGGUUCNGUGUUAAUAGCACUGUUCAUUGACGUUACUCGCAGAAGAAGCACCGGCUAACUCCGUGCCAGCAGCCGCGGUAAUACGGAGGGUGCAAGCGUUAAUCGGAAUUACUGGGCGUAAAGCGCACGCAGGCGGUUUGUUAAGUCAGAUGUGAAAUCCCCGAGCUUAACUUGGGAACUGCAUUUGAAACUGGCAAGCUAGAGUCUUGUAGAGGGGGGUAGAAUUCCAGGUGUAGCGGUGAAAUGCGUANAGAUCUGGAGGAAUACCGGUGGCGAAGGCGGCCCCCUGGACAAAGACUGACGCUCAGGUGCGAAAGCGUGGGNAGCAAC
This 570-nucleotide ribosomal RNA is filed under the name Serratia sp. (in: enterobacteria). RNAcentral's name for it is "bacterial SSU rRNA". It matches the Rfam family "Bacterial small subunit ribosomal RNA", at positions 218 to 772 of the family's 1533-position model. The record is from RNAcentral. Lineage: Bacteria; Pseudomonadati; Pseudomonadota; Gammaproteobacteria; Enterobacterales; Yersiniaceae.